The sequence is a small RNA, 186 nucleotides long. It matches the Rfam family "Bacteroidales-1 6S-Bacteroidales RNA suggested". The record is from Rfam.
GGUUGUUUCGAUUUGAUCGGGAUACUCAUCAAAUAAUUCUGAAAACCGAGAUGUCUCCUUUUGUUAAUGGCGGGCCACAUAAAUUCCGAUGGAACUAAGCAGAAAUGCCGGUGGAUUACAAAGGCGGAGGGCUCUCAAAUCAUACAUGAUUAGGAGUUUUCAUCACAUCGUCGGGCAGCCCCUUUU